Molecule: long non-coding RNA, 465 nt
Organism: Sinocyclocheilus anshuiensis
Lineage: Eukaryota; Metazoa; Chordata; Actinopteri; Cypriniformes; Cyprinidae
Exons: 3
Source: RefSeq, a predicted model, not a curated record
GAUUGCAGGAUAGCUGGUGAUACUGCGCUCUGUAAGAACAUCCACGAAUCAGUCAGCCGACAGAUGAAGAAGAACUUUGCCAAAGCAAAAUGGCGACAAGCGUUUAACGCUACCGCAGUGAUCAGACAUAUGAGGCGUCUUCAGCUCGGCAGCAGUAUGGAUUCCUCUCAACACAGGAAGCAGAAUCUAACAUCCAUGCCAGGGAAGAGUCAGUCGGUCGAUGUUUCCUCAGUCCACCGCAACGACUCCCUUGAAGAGGGUGUUAUCUUUGUCUAGGUUCUUCCAUGCAAGCGGCAAACUCUUCCUCGGGGACGCCCGAGCGGCACACACGGCCAUCCACGGUCACUACCAUCAUCACUGGCUCCAAAUGACAUCACUUCCUGUCAGACUGCUCACUUGACUGUUGCACUUAGUGGAAAGACGUGUUUUCUUCUAUUUAACGAUAACUUCCAUUGUCCACAGUCG